UUUAAGAGGAAGUAAAAGUCGUAACAAGGUCUCCGUUGGUGAACCAGCGGAGGGAUCAUUAAGAGAGUUGAAAGACUCCCUAAACCCACUGCAAACCUACUUAUAUCGUUGCUUCGGCGGGCAGCCCCAGGGCGGGGCCCCUGGGCCUUUUACAGGUGCCUGCCGACGGCCCUCACACAAAUUCUUGUUAUUUUCAGGCACUCCGAGUAGCGAAGAUUUAAACAAGUCAAAACUUUCAACAACGGAUCUCUUGGCUCUGGCAUCGAUGAAGAACGCGGCGAAAUGCGAUAAGUAAUGUGAAUUGCAGAAUUCCAGUGAAUCAUCGAAUCUUUGAACGCACAUUGCGCCCGUUAGCAUUCUAACGGGCAUGCCUGUUCGAGCGUCAUUUCAACCCUCAGGCCUCCAGCUAGCCUGGCGUUGGGGGAUCUGCGGCUGAUCGCAGGCCCUGAAAGAUAGUGGCGGUGUCCGCUAGCACUCCGGACGCAGUAGAUUUCUUUCUCGUCCAGGACGUCUUGCGGGCUGCCGGCCGUAAAACAGCCCAAUAACUAGAAGGUUGACCUCGAAUCA
RNAcentral lists this ribosomal RNA (567 nucleotides) under uncultured Sordariales. Its description in RNAcentral is "eukaryotic LSU rRNA". The stretch from base 231 to 385 matches the Rfam family "5.8S ribosomal RNA". Lineage: Eukaryota; Fungi; Ascomycota; Sordariomycetes; Sordariales. The record is from RNAcentral.